UUUAAGUAGAAUUAGCCUAGUCCUGGUUUAUUUUAAGCCAUUAACGGGAAACUGGGCCGAGAUGUUUAUCGCUGUGAAAUCACAUUCAAGAAGUCUCAUUCAGCACACAUCGCGAUACUUGCUAUCAGUGACAGUUCCACAGUUUGGCUGAAAAGACGUAAAGGAAGCCCAGUGGUGUUUCUGGAGAGGGAUUCCUUCAGAAAUGGAGAAGACAGAAAGCUGCGGAGGCAGAUAUUUGCAGCAGAUUGUUUGCUGGUGACGCUGUAGUUCUCCAUCAUGCACAAGGACUCACCUCGUUAACUCUUUUUUUUUUUUUUUUUUCCCCCGCACACACAGAAAUGGUCCCUGGAUCAGUGAUUAGACUUUGCAGUGGUUUGAUUUUUGCAGAAGAUGUAACUUUUAUUUUAAUUAUAAGCUCAUAAUGAAUACAUUACAGAACUUUUUGUUCUCUUUUUCAAGCUUCAUACAGUAAACAUUUUAGACUUUAAUUAAGAGUUUUAGUAAAGGAGAUAUUCAUACACAGUCAUCCCCUAGUUCCAUUCAUGAAGUGAA
Molecule: long non-coding RNA, 552 nt
Organism: Carassius gibelio (silver crucian carp)
Lineage: Eukaryota; Metazoa; Chordata; Actinopteri; Cypriniformes; Cyprinidae
Exons: 3
Source: RefSeq, a predicted model, not a curated record